RNA transcript from Cynara cardunculus var. scolymus (artichoke), 1529 nucleotides. It is a transcript of the gene named E3 ubiquitin-protein ligase PRT1-like, with no coding region annotated. Lineage: Eukaryota; Viridiplantae; Streptophyta; Magnoliopsida; Asterales; Asteraceae. The transcript has 10 exons. The record is from RefSeq and is a predicted model, not a curated record.
CGUUGUUGCCUUUUUUUUUUUUUUUCAUUCCAAUAAGAAGCUGAAAAUAGCGAUCGUUUCUAUCCCGGAAGAUCGGCCAUGGAAGAAGGCACCGAAUCGGAGCAAAUUUCUGAUAAUUUCACCUGUGCAGUUUGCCUAGAUGUUCUAUACAAACCCAUUGUUCUAGUUUGUGGCCAUGUCUCCUGCUUCUGGUGUUGCCAACGUUCGAUGGAUAUGAAAAGUGAAUCUCAUUGUCCAUUAUGUAGGCAUACUUAUCAUCAUUUUCCUGCAAUCUGCCAGACACUUCACUUCUUGCUCAAGAAGUUGUAUCCAAUUUCCUACAAUAGAAGGAGCAUACAAACACGGGAGGAUGAAAAAAGCACAUCAGGAUUUUCACCGGACAUUGAUAGUCUUGUUACCAGUGAAGAAUCGAAUGGUCUAAACAAUGUGGGCCAAACUUCCGAUCUCAGUUUUGAAGAUGAUGUUUUAGUAGAUCCUUUUUCUACCAAAGAAAAGAAAUUGAACGAGAGUUCUGUUAGAACUUGUUCAGUCAGUGACGUGCUGUGUGCUACUUGCAAGCAGCUACUUUUUCGGCCUGUUGUUCUUAAUUGUGGCCAUGUUUACUGUGAGGCCUGCAUCACCAUCCCAACUGAGGGAAUGCUUAAAUGUCAAGUUUGUAAAUGCCGACAUCCAAGUGGAUUUCCAAAAGUGUGUAGGGAGCUUGAUCAUUUCUUAGAGGAACAGUUUGCGUCAGAGUAUGCAUUGAGGAGAAACACUAUUCAGCUCAAUCAAGAGCAGACCCAAAACAGGAUUCUACCCAAUGAGGUCAAUACUCAAGUUCCCAGGCUCUCGUUCCCUACAGAAGAGAAUUUUCUGCAGUGGUGGACUGUUCAUGGCUCUAAGUUUCAUGCAAAUAUUGGUUGUGAUGUGUGUGGGAUGUGUCCAAUAAUUGGGGAUAGGUAUCGUUGCAAAGAUUGUACAGAAAGCUGUGGUUAUGACCUUUGUGGAGAUUGUUACAACACAUCUUCGGAUCUUCCAGGCAGGUUUAACCAGAAGCAUACUUCAAGACACCAGCUCGAGUUAGUGAAGCCAGUCAUUAACCGAAACAUCAUAUAUAGGCUUUUACGUGGACAGCUGGCAGUAGUUUCUUCUAUUGCUUCCCGAAAUCAAUCUAGCCCUGCUAAUGGAAGUCCGGAUCUUCCAUCUCCUUCUCUUGAUGAAGAUGAUGUAGGUAUUGCUACCAGAGAAGACCAAAGCGAUCAAGCUCCAAUAUGAGAGGGGUCUUCACGGAAACAGCCUCUCGAUCCAAGUGGUUGAGGUGUUGUUUCAAGCAAGUUUAUGAGACCUACAUGAUAAGAGGACGAUAAGGCCGGAAGCGACAAGCGCAAGGAAAAGGUCUACGAGUGUACUAUACAUAGUUAAUAUUUAUGUAACGGAGCUUGCAUUUGACAUUUGUGAAUGUCUAAGAAUGUCAAAUACAAAUCAUGUAAUUUAGAAGGAUGACGUUUAUGUAUAUAAUAUUUUAUAUACGGCAAAUACUCAUGUACAUU